This is an RNA transcript of Homo sapiens (human), 3803 nucleotides long. It is a transcript of the gene named transmembrane protein 177, with no coding region annotated. NCBI's taxonomy places the organism in Eukaryota, Metazoa, Chordata, Mammalia, Primates, Hominidae. The record is from RefSeq and is marked validated. The transcript is spliced from 3 exons.
GUAGGCGUUCCGAGCGGCGGCGGAGGUGAGCGCACGGACGAGCGGGAGGGACCCUUCUCCGGCCUGAUGCGACCCGGUAACGCGUUCAGACUGCGGAGUAGCCUAGGGGCCCAGAGUGGAAGCGUAGCGAGGACCCCUCUGCGGGGCUCCUGCAGCCCCUCCUCCCCCAGCCACCGGCGGGCUGCAUGGUACUGUGUUCUAGGCCCACCCCGCAGCGCGAUGGCCCUAGGGACGUUGGACUUUGGUCCAGACCUUUCCUUUCUUAGCCUCACUUUCCGCAUUGGGAAAAAAAAAAAGCCCGAAUGAUAAUGAUUCUUAUAGGAGUUCUUGAUUAAGAUAGGCCAAGCGGUACCCUGCGUUUUUGUUUGCGGCAACUCAUUCGUUGCUCAUUAAGCACUUUUCACGGACAGGAAUACAAUUGUCCGCAGUGACUACACUCAUGGCAGGUCCCCUGUGGCGGACCGCAGCAUUUGUGCAGAGACACAGGACAGGCCUCUUGGUGGGUUCCUGUGCAGGCCUGUUUGGAGUUCCAAUCUCGUACCACCUCUUCCCGGAUCCCGUGGUCCAAUGGCUCUACCAGUACUGGCCUCAGGGCCAGCCAGCUCCGCUCCCUCCACAGCUGCAGAGCCUCUUCCAAGAGGUGCUACAGGACAUAGGUGUUCCUUCAGGCCAUUGCUACAAGCCCUUCACCACCUUCACCUUCCAACCUGUGAGUGCAGGCUUCCCAAGACUCCCUGCUGGGGCUGUGGUGGGCAUCCCUGCCAGUUUCUUGGGAGACCUAGUGAUCAACACUAACCAUCCCGUGGUCAUACAUGGGCAUACAGUGGACUGGCGGAGCCCAGCAGGCGCCCGGCUGAGAGCUUCCCUGACCUUGUCCCGUGAAGCCCAGAAGUUCGCCUUGGCCAGGGAAGUGGUGUACCUGGAAAGCAGUACCACUGCCGUGCACGCCCUGCUGGCCCCAGCUUGCCUGGCAGGGACCUGGGCACUGGGCGUGGGUGCCAAGUACACCCUGGGGCUCCAUGCAGGCCCCAUGAAUUUACGGGCUGCCUUCAGCUUGGUGGCAGCAGUGGCAGGCUUUGUGGCCUACGCCUUCUCCCAGGAUUCUCUCACUCAUGCCGUGGAGUCCUGGCUGGACCGCCGCACGGCCUCCCUCUCUGCAGCCUAUGCCUGUGGUGGAGUGGAGUUCUAUGAGAAGCUUCUGUCGGGCAACCUGGCCCUGCGCAGUCUCUUGGGCAAAGACGGGGAGAAGCUGUAUACACCCAGCGGGAACAUCGUCCCCAGACACUUGUUCCGAAUCAAACAUUUACCCUACACCACCCGCCGGGACUCUGUGCUGCAGAUGUGGAGGGGGAUGCUCAAUCCGGGCCGCUCCUGAUGGGCUCAUCACAAGGACACUUCCAGCUUGUGCAGACACCACCCUGCCAUUGAGUCUGGAGGGCCCUGUUGGAGCCUUUGGACCUAUAGCUCACGGCCAGAAAAAUCACUGGCUUUGGAAUUAAAUAGCUUAGAUUGUACUAUAACCACUACUUAUGAACUCAGGGACUAUGAGGGACUAUUCAGGGGCUAUGAAUCUGAGCCUUUGUUUCUUGAACUGUAAAGUGGAGAUGAUGUAAACCGCCUUGCAAGAUUGUAGAGUUGGGAAAGGGAACAUCACAGAAAGGUGAAGAAAUUUGCCCUAAAUCAUAAAACUUUGUAAGUGGCAGAACAAGGAUUUGAAGCUGGCAGUCUGGUUCCAGGUAUCGUUCUUAAAACACUAAAUUUAUACUGUCCUAUUUAGCCUGAAAGUUUCAUGGUGCAGACUUAUACUGUGGACUCCAUAGCCCUUUUCCUCAUGCUGGGUUAGAAGUAACUUUUUCAGGCUCACUAUUUUUAUUAGGAAAAAAUAGUCACUGAGCAGAACUUCCGAGGAGACCCCUCCAGCUAACUGAAGAGAAAGGGACAACCAGCCUACCAUGUUUAGUGCAGCAGGGGGAACAGGACGGAAGGGCAGGGUGUCAUGGAGCUCUAGGAGGCACCAGCUGAGGAAAGGGGAUCUCAGGAGGUAGGGAGAGAGCAGAGUGGGCAGCCAGCUGUGGGUUCAAAUCCUGGCCUACCACUUUAACAGGGCGAUCUGGAACAAGUGACUUCUGGUCCUGAGUUUCCUGUCUGUAAAAUGGGUGCAUUCCUAUCUAUCUUUCAGGAUUGUUUUGACGAUGAAAGUGAAAGAAAGUUUGCAAAAUGUGGAGCCUGGUGAGGGCAUAUAGUAGGCUUUAAAAAAAAGAUUGAUUUUCUAAAUGUUAGUGCUCCUAAAUGGCAUAAGGUGUUCAGGUCUUGGAGUUGCUGCCCAAAUACCAGCAAUUUCCAGAGAACUCGCUGCUGCCUAAUACAGCUUUAUUUUAAAGCUUUUCAAAGCCCCAGUUCAGUUAGGGCAGUUUUCCCAGUGGCUAUCAGUUGGCAUCUUCUGGAAGGUACUUGGCAGCAGCUGAAAGCAGAGGACACAUGUGGCCUUAGGGGGAAACACCAGGCUGGAGAAGAGGGCAUUAGCGUGGACGGUGGUCCUUUACACCUACUCUACAGGGAAUGUUUUUCUUUUUCUUUCUCUCUCUUUCUUUUUUUCUUUUCUUUUUCUUUUGAGAAGAGUCUUACUCAGCCUUGGCCUCCUGGACUCAAUCAACCCUCCCACCUCAUCCCCCUAGUACUGGGAAUACAGGUGUGCACCACCAUGCCCAGCUAAUUUUUUUUUUCUUUGUUGUAGAGAUGGGGUUUUACUAUGUUACCCAGGCUGGUCUUGAACUUCUGUUCUCAAGAGAUCCACACACCUCAGCCUCCCAAAGUGCUGGGAUUACAGGCGUGAGUCACUUCACCUGGCCCAUACUGGUAAUUUUAAAAUACUAAAGCAUUAAGUGUUAGUAAGGUUGUAGUAAAAUUGAUACAAGCAUAUGCCCUUGGUGACAUUUGUGUUAGGCAGCUUUUAAGAUGACCCUAAUGAUCCCUGGUCCUAAUAUUUUUGGCCCUGGUUCAUAAUCCACUCCCCUUGCUCCUCUUGGUUCUAAACAAUAGAAUACAGAUAUACAUUGAGGGUAUAUCACCUCAGUGAUUAGAUUACAACAGAUUAUGACUUCUGUCUUGCUAAGAGGCCCUUGUCUUCUUGGCUUCACAUGUUUUAUCUUGAAGCACGUUGCCAUGUUGGAGAGACCCACAUGGCGAGGAACUAAAGGCAGCCUCUGAGCAAACAGCCAGCUAACAGCUGGGGCCCUUGGGCCACAAGGCACUGAAUCCUACCAAGAACCGUGUGAGCCUGGAAUAGAAUCCUUCCCUACUCAAGCUUUCAGAUGAGACUGCAUGUAUUAAUCCAUUCUCAUGCUGCUAUGAAGAAAUACCCAAAACUGUGUGAUUUAUAAAGAAAAGAGGUUUAAUUAACUCACAGUUCCACAUGGCUGGGGAGGCCUCAGGAAACUUACAAUCAUGGCAGAAAGCACCUUUUCACAGGGCAACAGGAGAGAGAAUGAGUGUCAGCAGGGAAAAUGGAAGUAGAAAAUCAUCAGAUCUCUUGAGAACUCACUCGCUAUCAUGAGAACAGCAUGGGGAAACCAUCCCCAUGAUUCAGUUACCUCCUACCAGGUCCCUCCCGUGAUACAUAGGGAUUAUGGGAUUACAAUUCAAGAUGAGAUGUGGGUGGGGACACAAAGCCAAAUCAUAGCACCCCAGCCUCAGCCAGCACCUUCACUGCAGCCUUGAGAGCCCCUGGAGCAGAGAAGCAGCUAACCUGUGCCUGGAUUCCUGACCCACAGAAACAAGAAGACAAUAAAUCCAUGUUGUAGUAA